GGAGGAAGAAGAUGGACAUGAGUUCAGAGGUGGAAGGAGGGAGCUUGUCUGGUUCAGUUCCAGAUCUGGGGACUUCACUGCUUCCAGGAUUGAGUGAGAAUGUGGCAUGGACUGUAGAAUACCAGGAGCCAAGACCUGAAAGCAAUGGAGCCAGGCUACUACAGACACAGUGGAGCCAGUCAACUGUGGACACAGUGGAGCCAGGCUACUGCGGACACACUGGAGCCAGGCUACUGCGGACACAGCCCUCUGGAACCAUGAGCCAAGGAUGCAGGCUCAAGUGACCAGGGCCCUGGUUGUAGCCUGGACACCAGCUGUGCAGUUCUCCCACUGUGUGAACUUUCUCCAGAUGGGUGCCAAUCUCAUGAAGCCACGAAUGUCCUUGUAGAAUAAGUCUGGAAGCAAUAAUUUUAUGUUGCAUAUGGAAUCACGUGAGUGUCUCCCUGUGGAGUGUUGGCUGACUUGGAACUCACUAUGUAGACUAAACUGGCCUAAAACCUGAGGCAAUGCUCCCGCCUCUGCCUCAAAACUGUGGACUGACUACAGGUAUGUAAAAUAAUGCCCAGACUUCAAUUACUAAUUAAAAAAUGUAUAUGAGUGUUUUUCUUGCAUGUAUGUCUGUGAACCAGAAGAGGUCAUUGGAUCCCCUAGAACUAGAGGUAUAGAUGAUUGUAAGCUGUCAUGUGGGCGCUGGGUCUUGCGCCUAGGUCCUCUGGGAGUGCAGCCAGUAUUCUUAACUGCUGAGUCUCCAGCCCUGCCAACCACUAUUUUUAAAACCCCAAACUGAUUAAUCUCAGCAGUUUACAUUUCUUUUACCACAGGCCUCCGACUGGUGUAACAGUCACACAGAAGAAGCCUCUGUUAGCCACCCCUUUGUUUGGGAGUUUGUACUGUGGUUAUACUUGAAAGUGGCACUGAGCACGGUUCAUGCCUCAUCUUUUUUAUCGUUGGGUAGCUCCAUAAUUACCUGCUGACUCUGCACAGCUAACAGCGUGCUUUUCUGUGUUUUGAAGGAAAUUUGCUUCCAAGUACCUCAAGAGGUGCAAAACUAGAAGGCUGCAGCCAGAUGGAGUGACCAAGGCGACCCAGAGACAUACAAGUUUUGCUCAUGGUAACCAGCAACUCAAGGGCAGAGGUGAAGCCAGAAUUCGGAUGUCAUGGCUCCCAUGUUUCUAUUCUUGGGGACAGAUACCAGAGUCAAUGGACAAGCAAUGUCUUUUUGCUCAGAUUUCAGGGCCAUUUAGAGUUCAUUUGGUCACCAUGUUAAUCAGAGUUUAUGAUAAUAGGCUAAAUCAACUUUAUAACAGAACUCUGUAUGGCAGAAUAGUGAAAAUAAAAAUUUGUUUUCUGGUGUAGGAGAGAAAGUUCAAGAAGAAUUCAAUGUCAAAUCAUUUGAAAGGGUCUGAGUAACUGUGACAACUUGGGUUUCAUGCCAAGAUUUACACAGUCAUUUUAGUUAAACUUCACAGUAAUACAGUAAUGGACAUUCUAGUUUUCACAUUCAUGCACAUGAAAAACAGGCAUUCAAAGUAUAACAUGCCAGUGUAUGGGUGGCACAGGGAUGUUUUGUAGGUGAGGCUGGGAGUUGAAACUAGCUCUAUCACAAUUCAAGACCAACACACACUUCUCAAUUCCUCAGCUAUGGUGAAAUUUCCAUAAACAUUGAAUGUGUAAAUUUCACAUGUCUAAGUCUUCCAUGAAACUGGUGCAGCCUCUUUUUGGAGAUGGGAACUUGUUGUGAAAUACUAGUUGAAGAUAUGUUACAUUCCUUUGUGCUGUGGAAUAUUUGUUUAAUGAUGCAAAGAUGUGUUGCCCUCUUUCAUGUUGCAUUUGUUUAACUUUGUGAAGCUGUGUUACUUUGCCUGUCUAAAACACCUGAUUGGUCUAAUAAAGAACUGAAUGGCCAAUAGCAAGGCAGGAGAGAGAAAUAGGUGGGGUUGGCAGGCAGAGAGAAUAAAUAGGAGGAGAACAAGAAGAGGAGGAGAGAAAAAAAGAGGAGAGGAAGAUGUCAGGGGUCGCCUAGCAACACAGCAGUCAAUGGAGUAAGAAGGAAAGAAAGAGGCAUAGAAUAAAACAAGGUAAAAGUCCAAGGCAAAAGGUAGGUGGGAUAAUUUAAGUUAAGAAAAGCUGGCUAGAAACAAGCCAAGCUAAGGACAGACAUUCAUAAGUAAGAAUAAGUCUCCAUGUCUUUAUUUGGGAGCUGGGUGGCGGGUCUCCAAAGAGUGAAGAGUGAAAAAAAAAAAAAAAAAAAACUACAGGAACUCUCAACUAGUCUAGUUUAGGUUACUGUAUGAAACUAAAAACAAACCUACAAUCCCACUGAGCUGCGUGGAAGACACUGAGCAGUCCACACUCCUGUUCACUACUCAAGUUACAGUACCAUUUCAACUCUAAACUGCUUAUAUUUCUCUACCAGAAAAGGGAUCCAUGCCUAUCAAUUCUGCUAUUGUACUCACUUAGUGACUUGUUUUUGUUUAGGUCCUGACUUGUACUCCUAAUUAUAUCCUUGGAUUCCUGACUCAAGAAGGAGUUGGAAGUGGGAAGCCUGAGCUUGGUUGCAGACAGCAGCAGGGCAGGCUGGAGAGAACAGAGUGGAACCCAUUUCAACUCCUCCAGGAUUCUUUGUGGGAUCCUCAGGUGCAGCCUGUGGGUCCCACCUCAGUGUUUUCCAAGCUCCCAGGUGAUGCUUACACUAAGUACUGAGCCCACUCUUGAGAAGAACCAUUCAGCAGUAAUAUGAAAUCUCUCUCCCCACCUUCCUUUCCCUCCUUCCCGCCAUCCAUCCCUCCCCUCUUUCCUUCUUUUCUUAUUUUGGAACAGGGUCUUACAGAGUCUAAGUUGACCUCAAACCCCCUAUGUAGCUGACGUUGAACCCAAACUUUGGAUGCCCUUGCCUCUCUUUCCCAGGUAUGUACCACUGUGCCUAGUUGAUGUGCUGGGGGAUCAACCCAGAGCUAGGUAAACACUCUACCAGAAAAGCCACACACAUCUCCAUUCCCCAGCAUUGCAAAAUUUCUAAUUAGAUAAAACUCAGUUAUUUUCUUUUACAUGUUAUGAAGUCUGUGAACUUGGACUGGCCAGCAAGCCUUACAGAUAAAGUGCUGAAGACUGGUUCAAAUUCAGAUAGAAGCCAAGGAAGCAUUUGCAAAGCAUCAUCAGUGGUUUAGAAACUGGUCCAGAUGCCUUAGAAUGGUCUGCAGGAUUCUGGUGCGAUCUGAAAGGAUGUGGGCAAACAUCUCAGAGGCACUCGCCACAUGCUCUCUCUGUGAAAGAGUGGCCUGACAGGCCGUCACAGGGCCUCAGUCCUGUGUCCCCUAGAAGAUCACCUGGCUGAUGGGCACAGAUGACACACUUCAGCAGGGGUUCCUGUGAGGCAGCUCUGCUGACAGAGCUCACAAAGCCUGCCCUGGUGGACGACGAGCCAUGUUGGGCAGUCAGCAGGAUUUUAGCAGAAUAAGGACCACAGUUCAAAUGGCAGAUGCAUUAAACUGCCUCUGCUAAGAGACCGCCCUCGAUAACCAUGGGGAGCUCAGGGCCCACAAAGUUCAUCUUCCGCUUUUGGGCUUCUGAGAGGAUGAAAGUCCAGCAGAAGCCUAGAAGACCCUGAAUGCUUAUAACAUGCUGUAAAAAUGUGUUUUUCUUUCUUUCUUUUUUUUUUUUUUGAAAAUUUGAGAUGAAACCAUACCAGCAUUAAAAAAGAUGUAAUCCUGAUGGGGAAAUAUGUUUCUGACAGGAACUUGGAAGAGUAAGCUAGCUAUAGUCCUGGCUUGGAAAAUUUCAAGCAGCCUUUUACCCACAGCAUUGAGUUAAGUGCAUGCUGGUUGCUGUGGGUGGAGGUAGAUUCUUCCUUUUCUUCUUCAUAAAUUAUCUCGAAUGUCUCUUCAGUGAUUUAUACAAAUUUUAUAUUAAAAAAUUAACAUUAAAAUUUGGUGGUCGUUGGAAGAGCACUUGCUAUGUGACUGGCAGGCCAGCUUGAGGUGGCUAACUUAAUUUUUUAUUUUUAUUUUAUGUGCAUUGGUAUGUUGCCUGCAUGUGUGUCUGUGUGAGGGUGUUGGAUCACAUGGACCUGGAGUUACAGAAGUUGUGAGCUGUCAUAUGGGUGCUAGGAAUUGAACCCGGGGCCUCUGGAAGAGCCACCAGUGCUAUUAACCGACCGUUAAGCCAUCCCACUAGCCCCAAAGUGGCAAACGGGGGGGCGGGGAGAGGGGGGAGAGGGAGAGGAGCCAAGAACAGAGAGAACCAGCCCAACAAGUGAGAAGGGCAGUGGCAGAGUCAGUGAGAGAGGGGAGACAGGUUCCUGGAGGACAGGCACAUGCUGAAGACCUCAAGAGGGGAGAGAACUCCCUGGUCCUUCAGCUACAUACCUGGGACUUGCUCUUAGAAAUGAGCACUGUGAACCGGGUGUGGUCAUCAGAAUAUUCACUGUGGCCUGUUUUAUUAAUGGAAAAAUGGAAAUGGAUGGCAGGUCCAAUAAGAAUGAGCCCAAAUGAUGGUGGAGCAGAUUUUUGGAAUGCCAUGUGACCAUCAAAGUCACCUUGUAAAAGGAUUUGUAAAUGAUAUCCUACCAUUGAGAAUAACCUGAUAUCCUGGGCUGUGCAGGUCACAGUGUUUCUAAUUCUUGGUGCUUAUUAUGGGGUUCAUUUUGUUCAUGAGAUGCAUCCUUAUAGCUGGGUCCAUUUCUCUUAUAAAAUGUUAAAGAACAGUUUUAAUAAGUCGAAAGUAGGUCUUGGUGUAUUAGCAAAUUUUACAUUUUAUAUAUAUAUAUAUGAAUGUAUGCAUGCAUGUGUAAAUGUGUAUAUAGCAGAUAAACAUUUGCUCCUAACUAUGGGCAGUGCUAUUUUGUGGCUAUGGAUUAUCACUGUUAACUUUAACUGUAAGGGUGAUACAGCCUAGCGUCACCUGAAAAGAGAUUUAACCGAGUAUCCAUCCUUAUCAGGUUGGUUUGUGGGCAUGUCUGUGAGGGAUGGUUUUGAUUGUUAACUGAUAGAGAAGGGCCCAGCCCACUGUGGGCAGUACCAUUCUCUAGGCAGGUGGUCUUGGCCUUAUAUAGAAACUAGUUAAGUAUGAGCCUGUGAGCAAAACAGUAAGCAGUGUUCCUUCAUGGUUCCUGGCUUCAAGUUCCUGCCCUGACUUUCCUCAGUGAUGAACUGUGACCUAGAAGUGUACAUCAAAUAAUCCAUUUCUCCCCCCAAGUUUCUUUUGAUCAUGUUCAUCACAGCAAUUGAAAGGAAGCUAGAACAGGUACUAUUUUUGUCCAUCCUCUAGAAUGUUCAUAAAUGUUACUUUAAAAACGUCAAAGGUCAGAAGGAGGCAAAUGCUUUCUCUGUCUCAGUUCCUAUCCUUAGGCCACCGCUCUGUCCUUCUGGGUCUGGCUUCUAUGGACACUCAAAAACAGGCAAUAAGAAAUUUCCCCAUCCGGUAUCUGAGGUCCCUCUCACUCCAGCUGGGUUGUCCUUACUGCAAACUCACAACAUAGAUGAGCUGGAAGUUAAGGCAGCAGAUGGUCAUCCUAGACAAGGAGACUUGGAUCUCUCAGCUGAGGCAGAACUGCAGUCACUCCCAAAGCUUACAGAAGAGCUUCACUGCUGUCUGUGAUGUCUCCACAUGCUAACUUUCUGGGCCUCCUUGAAGGUGUGAGAGCAACAGAAUUUCACAAAGGGAGAAGUUCUCCAGGAGACACAAUCAGCCCUAGAGGGUUCAGAAAGCCAGAGGCAGGACAGAGAUGUCCUGAUGAAGCUGAGAAGCGGAGUCAGUGCAGCCUGCACAUGGUGCUUGAACCUGAGCUCCAUUCCCAGAACGCACGUUUUUUACUUUUUAAAGUCAGGCAUGGUGGCACCAACCUGUAAUCCUAGGGCGGGGGAGGAAGAGACAGACAGACUGCCGAAGCUGGCUGGUUGGUUAGCCUAGCCUACUCGGCAAGUUCCAGAGAGACAGAGAGAAGAAAUAGCAGCAUGGUUAGCUGAAACGUGUUCAGUGCUUGUUACUCAGGCAGGGCAGAGGGACAGCGUUUUACAUGUGUGGCCCGAUCUGAACGUCCCGCGUGCCCUAAGAGAUACCACUGCCGGUCUCGUAGAAGGAUGAUAUGACCCAGGCCAGAAGACGGCAACACACAUGCUGAGGAUUCUGGCCACACCCUGCAGUGCUUUUGUUCUCACCUGCUGCAAGAUGAGGCUGUCAAAAUGAGGCAGGAAGUGAGCUGAGGUGAGGUAGAGAGGUGCUGAGGGAGGGAGGGAGUAUCCCUGAGGGGAAGCAUGGCUCU
Peromyscus californicus insignis is the source of this 6259-nucleotide long non-coding RNA. RefSeq lists it as uncharacterized. The transcript has 4 exons. Lineage: Eukaryota; Metazoa; Chordata; Mammalia; Rodentia; Cricetidae. The record is from RefSeq and is a predicted model, not a curated record.